This 330-nucleotide ribosomal RNA is filed under the name uncultured bacterium. RNAcentral's name for it is "bacterial SSU rRNA". It matches the Rfam family "Bacterial small subunit ribosomal RNA", at positions 585 to 916 of the family's 1533-position model. The record is from RNAcentral.
AAGUCGGAGGUGAAAUCCCACAGCUCAACUGUGGAACUGCCUUUGAUACUGUUUGACUUGAGUUUUAGUGAAGUGAUUGGAAUGUGUGGUGUAGCGGUGAAAUGCAUAGAUAUCACACAGAAUACCGAUUGCGAAGGCAGAUCACUAACUAUUUACUGACGCUCAUGAACGAAAGCGUGGGGAGCGAACAGGAUUAGAUACCCUGGUAGUCCACGCCGUAAACGAUGGAUGCUAGCUGUUGGACUUUUAUUGUUCAGAGGAGUGGCUAAACCAAUAAGAUCACCGCCUGGGGAGCACGGUGGCAAGGUUGAAACUGCAUGAAAUGGAGGG